AUCCAGCUGACGUGUCCCAAAUAGGGCAAAACGCGCGUCCAGCUGAAU
Molecule: non-coding RNA, 48 nt
Organism: Schistosoma curassoni
Lineage: Eukaryota; Metazoa; Platyhelminthes; Trematoda; Strigeidida; Schistosomatidae
Source: Rfam